This 15805-nucleotide long non-coding RNA is filed under the name Coffea arabica (coffee). RNAcentral's name for it is "long non-coding RNA (CARA_LNC002507)". The record is from RNAcentral. Lineage: Eukaryota; Viridiplantae; Streptophyta; Magnoliopsida; Gentianales; Rubiaceae.
CCCCUGUCACUUCCAGUUAUGAGGUCACCUCCUCAAUCCCUCCUGCAAGGUUGUUCAAGGCCACCAUCCUUGAAGAGAAACAUCUUCACAAGAUCUUGCCACAGGGUGUUAAGAGUGUCGAAAUCCUUGAAGGAGAUGGUGGAGUUGGCACAAUUAAGUUGACCACAUUUGUUGAUGGUAAGAUAAUCAAUACAAAGUGAUUAUUUUCACACAUUUGAAGUCUUCAAAUUGCUCCUUUUUUUUUCCUUUUAUUUGGGAAAAACUAAUGACUUUUUUUUUUGGUUGGGUUAAAUAUUUAGGUGGCGAGCAUAAGACUGCCAAGCAGAGAGUUGAUGGAAUUGACAAAGAAAAAUUUACAUACAGUUAUACUGUACUUGAAGCUGAUGGAUUUAACGAUGUAAUCGAGAAAAUCUGUUGUGUCAUCAAAUUUGAACCCUCUGCUGAUGGAGGUUCAAUCUGCAAAACCACUAACACAUACCACCCCAAAAGUGGUGCUCAGAUCGGUGAGGAACACCUCAAGGGAGGAAAAGAGAUGGGUUUGGGAAUGGUUAAGGCUGUUGAGGCUUACCUCCACGCAAAUCCUACUGCCUACAACUAAUUAUAAUGAAUGCUACUGAAGGACUCUUCGACAUAUUUUCUUCAAGAUUGAAGUACACACUGAGGGUGUGUUUCCUUUUUUGCUUGGUUUGCUUUAAGCUGUUUGGUUAAGUUAAAAACAAAAUUGAAUCAUAGAGAGAACAAAAAAAAUAUAGUGUUUCUUAUGGAGAAAAAAAUGGAGCUGAUGCCUAAAAUCUCACAUGGAUCCAACUCAGUCCAUUUAAUGGAGAAAAGGCAAAUAACACAACAAGAAUAUGCUCAAAGUUGGAAAAAUGUGCUAUAAUUAUGAUUACUCCUUUAUGAAAUAAAGCUGAAAGCAGCUCAAUUUCUUUUUGUUUUCCAUAUUAUUCAAUUUCGUUGUCGAUUUUUGAUAGAUGUAUUUUUUUUAUUGCUUUAAUAAGGGCUAUGAUUGGAUAUCCUGUUAUGCCAUUGGCUGUCGAUGCUAAACCUGAUAAAUUAGAUGGAUCAUCCAAAUAAAGACAAAAUUGGCUAUGUAAACAUUGGUGAGGGACUAUUUCAGCUUAAGAAAAAUAGUUGAGGGACUAAAUUGGCUUAUAAUAAAAUUAGGGACUAUUUCAGCUUUGUAAAAAUAGUUGAGAGACUAAAUUGACUCAUGAAAAGUUUAGGGACUAUUUUGACAUUAACGAAAUAGUUUUGGGACUAUAAACAUUAGGUCACAAUGUUGAAAUAUCAAAACACAUGUUUGGGACCAAAACUCAUAGAACUUCUUCACGUCGCCAACGAAAUUUGAUUCUGAAGUAAUGCUAAUUUUAUUUAUUAUUUGUUUCCUUGCUGGUCUUCUGUCUUUUUGGUUACAAUAUUAAAAUGUAUCCAUAAUUUUCAAUUCCAAAAGUGUUGAAUAUUUAAACGAAUUCUAGGAAGGGCACUGAGAGUCAAAAUCUUAUUCAAACAGCCAGCCAUCUCAGAGUACAUAUUUUUUUAUUAUCAGGUUUAAAAUGUAUCUAUUGCAAUUUUUGAAUGAUUAGCCAUGACUAAGAGAAUAAAAUAAUUCACUUGCUGUUUUUAGAUAUGAAUUCAUGACUGUCAGUAGUCUAUAAAUACACUUAUUGCUCACCACCCUUAAUUUGCACCGCAAAAUCUUUUCAAGAUCUAUCAAACCCUCCUGUUCUUGAUCUUUGUCCAUUUGUGAAAAAGCAAAUUAAAGCAUCAUGGCUCCUAUCACUUGUAGUGCUGAGAUAACCCCCCCAAUCCCUCCUGCAAGGUUGUUCAAGGCCGCCAUCCUUGAUGACCACCUUCUUCCCAAGAUCAUGCCACAGGCUAUUAAGAGUGUGGAAAUCCUUGAAGGAGAUGGUGGAGUUUGAACGAUUAAGUUGAGCACAUUUGGUGAAGGUUAGAUGUUAUAUUAAAUGUAGAACCCAAAUUUUAAGGAUCUAAUAAUAAUCAAUGCGUGCAGGGUUACAGAAUUGAAGGGAUAAAAUAAAUAUUCAAAAUAUACGUGGAAGAAAAGAAAAUAAUAAUUCAACUCACAAUAUUAUUAAAAUUUCAAACAAUGAAAAAAAUCACACCACAAUAAAUUUAGCUGGUUCUAAUAAUAAUCAAAGCAUACAAGCUUACAGAAUUAAAAGGAUAAAACAAAUACUCAAAAUAUAUGUGGGAGAGAAGAAAAUAAUAUAUUCAACACACAAUAUUAUUGAAAUCUCAAACAAUGAAAAAAGUCACACCAUAAUAGAAAACCUUGCAAAUUUUUCUAGAUUCUUUCUCUUGAGAAACCAACCUAAAUAAUAUCCUAUUUAUAAUCUACCAAACUUGUUAGGAAAGAAAUCACUUGCGUAAGAAAUUACGAAAUAAAACAGAAAUUCCUAAAUCACACAACUACUAAAAACAUAACUCAAAUAAAAUUAGAAAAUAAAUAAAUAUUUCUAGGCUUAGUUUAAUUUGUCAACAUUGCCUCCCUUAAACCAAACUAUCCAGUGAGAUAGGUUCAACACCAUCUCAAGCAACAAUUUCUAUGUAAAUCUAUGUCGUAGUAUACUUGACAUGAAACUCUAACUUGUUAUUGGUUAUUAAUUUUGUCUUUACAUGUAACAGUGGAUGCACUAUGUAUUUUGUAAAAAAAUUCUCAACAAUUUCUUCUUGAUCAAAGUACUCACUUAUAUAAACCCAUUCAUCACCAGAAUCACCAUAUUUACCACCAAUGUAAGUGCCUAAAAUUACAAAAUCAUAGAUUGCUUUCUCGCUAAAAUUAUCAUCACCAAAUAAUUCAAAAUAACCACUACUACAAUCAUCCAAAAAUUUCAUACUGUCAGUCAACUCUUUUGGAGUAAAAUAUUUUUCAACUCCAAUGUCAUCCAUAUCUAUCAAAUCAAACAUUCUCCCAUCACUUUGAAGAGACUCCGAACCAACGAAUUUUUCAACAGCAAUUUCAUGUUCUCUUCUCUUAUCAAAUCAAAAUUUUCUUCUUCUUUUGUCAAAUUACCAUAUUAUUUUUUUUCAACAAAUUCAUUACUUCUAAUUUCUCCAAACAAGGUACGCAAAUCAAAAAUAUCAAUUGAUCCAAAAUUUUCGGUAUCAGCCAUAUUAUCAACAAAUCUAUCAUUUUUUAAAUCCACAAACCAAUACCAGCAACUAGACUUCAGUUCGAAAGCAUAAUUUCUUUCAAUCAUGUGCAAAACAUAGUAAAUAUGCUUCCAAAAUCUCUAAAGUAUUUUAGUACGACCGAUAAAGGUUUUAUAAAUACUUUUUGCCAUUAUUUUACGCAUCACUUGAAAGAAUAAUUGUGCCUUUUUCUUAAAAACAUGUUUUUACAACUUAAUUGCAUCAACCCAACAAAGAAUAUCAUCCAAAUUACAUUGUUUGAGAUAUUUUUCCACUGUUAAAAUCCAACCAAAAUAUGUAUGUCUAUUUGUGCUUAUAGGAGUCAAUAUGGAAAAUUUUUCACCAUCAAUCAGAUCUUUAUAAUAUCCAUUAUUUAACAAUUUGUAUACCUGAAUAAAUUUUUUUCCUCCAUCCUAUCAUGUUUUCUUGCCCUCCAUGGUUGACUGACCAAAUUAUUGUUGUAUGUAUACCCAUGCUCGUCAAACCUCAUUCGUGUACACUCGUAAGGAGUGGUUCUGAGCUUAUUGUGAAUGCUCAGUACCAAGAAGUAGAAGAGAUAAUGCAUAAGAGAGAAUUAACUUGGCUAAAGAAUUGGGAAGCAAUUUAGGGAUUUUUUAAGAAAUUAAUUCUCCAACCGCCACUUUUGGAAAUUUCUAUCAACAACUAGUUACCAAAACACUAGCACAUAGUAAGAAAUCCGGAUAAUUUCAUAAACCUACCUUUAGGUUUUUAAUAAUUUCAAGAAGCUCUCCUCAAUAUUUUAAAAUUACACAUACUUUCCCUAUUGGUGCAAAAGUACUCUACUACCCCUAAUAGGAUACUCAAAAGACUUUUUUAUGGGAAAAAAGAAGCUCAGAAAGCCAAGCAAAAACAAAAAUCAAUUGAUUUUCUCUUUUAGCCUUUUACGCUUUUGCCUUCUACCUUUACGCGCUUUCCCAUGCCAAUCUUCCUAUAACGACUUCCCUAGUCCCCUUUCCCCAACUUUUCUCCUCUACUUCAAGACCAAUUUUUGUCCAUCAAUCCUGGCUUGUGCUUUGUUACAUUCCCUUCCCUUCUCCUUUUUUGAUUUCCCCUACAUCUCCUUUUCUCUUUGCAAAAGUGACUAGGCUCGUCUCUCUCUCUCUUUUCCCCUAUUCUAAGUGUAGUGGAUUUGAUUAUUUUGCAUCUAUUUUAUUUGAUUUUGCUUGAUUAUGGGUGAUAAAACUUGGUGAUAUCAACCAUCAUAAGUUUGAUAGAUGGAUAUUGGGCUUUAGGCAAUGAUUUGUUGAAAAAAAAUGGCUGCAAUGAGAGGAAGAGGCAAGGGGAUUUGAGUGUGGGGUUGAUUUUUGAUGAAUUGUUGUUUUGGACAAAAUUUGAGGUUGAGUUUUAUCAAAUUUGGUAGCAAGUGGCGAGAUUUGUUCUGGUUGUGGGAAAUAAAUUGGAUUGUGGUUUCUUGGGCACCCACAGUUGUUGGAAUUGGUUUUGAUUCAAAUAAGGGUGGUUACUUGAUUUUCCUAAUAGUGUUGCUUAAGAGCACACGAUCAUCAAAAUUCCUUAUUUUUAUCUUUUAUUUGUAGAAAAGAUUUCAUGACUUUCAUGAUAGUCUAAUUUGGAAGAAGGCAAUCAAGGGAUGCAAUCAACAUUUAGCAAAAGCUCUUGUUCUUUUCUUUGUAAAUUUCUGGGUAAAGAGGGUAGUUUAGGGUAUUUGAAGGAAAUGAUAGCCUAUUGGGCAUAUUUUGAAGCAUAAAUAGUGAAAGUGAGGGAGGUUGGUGUAAUUUCUGAAACCUAAGGGAAGCUGUCUGAAAUUGUCCUAGACCUCAGGGUAGGUUUCUGAAAUUAUCCCUAGAAAUCAAAUGCGAAACUUGAUUAGUACACGCACACACCACACCGCACCGCACCCCGCCAUGCGUGUAUUGAGGACCGAUGUCCGUAACGAACCACAAGCAGGUUUUCAAUUUCUUUUUUCCUUUUCUGGAUUCUCCAGAGAUAGUGUCAACUUCUAUUAGUGAUGAGCAGGAGGAAAUGCACAAUAUAAAGUACAGAUCACCCAUAUUCUUUUUAAUUGCACAAUGUAUGAGAUUAUGGUGAUUCGAAAUUAAAUUAUAGGUUUAUUGGGCUACGAAUCCAAAGUAAGCGUUGGAAAUGUAUUGUGACAACAAUUGUUAACUUAGGCCACAAAUGAUCAAAAUAAAUAUUGAAGGUUUAAUAUGAGAUUAUGGGUACGUUCAAAAUAUAUUUACUCAAAGAACAAAGUUAUUCGACUAUAUGUUUAUUCACGUCUACUAACUUAUUUAAAGUCAUUUUUUAUUUCACUAUCCAAAGAAGAAUUCUUGGGCGUUAACAUUUUUCUUACAUGCCAAGACUAUUAAUGCAAGUUGACCCAAAUCUCUCUCCCUUUUUCUCUCAAUUCUUAGGACGUACUGAUGCCAAUUCUUACCGUUUAGAAAGAAAAAUUAGAUUGUUUAUAUAUAUGAUGAGUUCCCUCUAAGUCAUGGUUAAGAAAAAUUCUUAGUUAAACGCAGUUUUAUGAAAUGUGAAUUUCCUUUUCUUUGUCUUUAUUCAUUGGUAUUAUUGGGGUUAUUGUAUUAUGAUUGCAAUGCACAGAUACAGGGAUUUAAUCGACUCUGACUAUGUCUCAAACUCGAGACCUUAUGCUUGUAAAAAUUCAGAAGAAUAAUUUUGGACCUUAUUACUUAAUAAUGGUACAAUUAUGAGAGUCAUUCCAGGUUAAUUAUCAAACUUGGAACUUGAAAAUAAUGUCGACAUCAUGUCAUUAUUAUUUUUUUAGUUUCAUAGAAAAAUGAAGUAUUCUCCGACUCGACAUUAUCAUAGUGUAUUUUCAAUUGGCAGCUCAUGUGAGAAAGACAAGAAAUUCACAAUCAACUGGCCAAGAGAGUGCCAACAAAGAAAGCACUAAAUGGCUUAAACAAAGCAUGCAAAUUUGCUUAGCACUUAAACAAUAGACACCUAAAUCAACCAUGUCACUGUCUUGCCAAAAAAAUUCACAAUCAACUGGCCAAGAGAGUGCCAACAAAGAAAGCACUAAAUGGCUUAAACAAAGCAUGCAAAUUUGCUUAGCACUUAAAAAAGGGCAUUAAAGUAAAAACAACUCAUGCCUACCACAGGUAACAAACUUCAGCACCUUCACUUCACUGCCACGUCAUCAACAACAUUUGCAAAUUUCCAAGGAAGUCCACGCACUAAAGGUGCCCAUGCCCCAUAGGGGACCUCAGGUUAGUGUUCUUAACAUCAACUCCUGUCUUUCUGCUCUUAAACGUUAUAACUAAUCCUGAUUUCCUUAUGCUGUAUUUGUACACAAUUUGGCAACUAGGGUGUCCUUUCUUGGGCCAAAUUGGACAAGUAAAAAAAAUAAAAAUUAAAAGGUUUAUCUGCAAACUGUAGUUCGGCCUGGCUUCUUUUUUUUUUUUGGAUAAGAUCAUCUCAGCACCCGCAGACCCCGUCAUGUAUCAAUAUUUCUGUACUUAGCAUUGGCUUCUUCUCGCCUGAAGAACACACGAACCACCGAAAUAGAUGGUGCAUGAAAGUGCACUUAACCCUUUUAAUUUUUCAAAACAAUGCUUUUAGAAAAAAUAAUAAAAACUUUUUGAAUUUAAUUUUAGAGAAGAAGAAUUUUAAAAUUUUUUGAAUUUAAUCUUAGAGAAGAAGAAGUUUAAAAUGUACUUUCAUUUUCACAACUGAUGAUGAAGAUAGCAAAAUGUACACGGAUAGUGACAAAAGUGGGAUCACGGGCAGGAAAUCCUGAAGGUUACGUGCAUUUUGUACACGGCAUAAUUCUGUUUGUAUAUGGUAUACCUUACUUUUUACAACGUGUAUUUUUAGAACAAAAUUUUGUGAGUCUCACACAUUUUAUUAAAAAUGAGGUACAAGAUGAAAUUUGGACCGUAUAAUUUUUUUUAAUCAAAUCUUGACCGUGAACUGCUCAGGGACGAUCCACCUGAUGACCGUCCCUGCCCCAGAUCCGACAAAAGUGCCAUCUUAUCCUUUUACUGACUGGCCCGUUUUCCAAUGACAGCGCCCAGAAGGGGUGCCUCUGCUUCAUAGUUUAUCCAUAUUGAUAUUUCUUUUCUGUACCCCUGACUAUUAAAUGUGAAAGGGUGCCCACCAAAUUUGACGAAACCGUUUAUCCUAAUUGAUUAUUAUCAAUAGGGCAUAACUUUAAUAUUCUACUUCCAACCCUUUCUGGUGAUUCCUGCAACUCCAGCCGUCCGUCAAUGACCAUAGUGCACCAUUAACCGACAACUAACUAACCACUACUAAUCUAUUCUCAAAUUUUAAUGAAAUUGCACAAUUAGUUUUCAUUUCUCACUUUUAUUUCAAAUUUGGUCUCAAUUUAAUGUGAAUCCCAAUAAAUAAGACCGGAGUUGAAAUCAAAGAAGGUAUUUCAAUCACCAUCAGAUAAAUUCUUCAUAUCUAGUUUCGUUUUUGAGAUGCAUAGAAAAUGUAAGCUGAUUUUUCAAUCUACGAGAAAAACGAAGUCUAAGAGAAUAAUUUUGUCAAAAUUUGACAAUGGAAUAACAGUUGUGAACCGUUGGUCACUGGUUGGCAGCUAGAAGUUAUAGCAGUUUUAAGCAUAAUUGGAGAAAGUAAAAGAUUAAAACUACGUUGUCUACUAUUAACGACUUACAUUGACAAAAUGGCUAAAGCUAGGGUUGAAAAAUAAAUCAAACUACGUGACAUUUGAAUCAACUGCGAUUUGGUAAGAGUUUAUUUCAAUUUGGUUUGUCAACUAGUCAAAUCAAAUUUAAACAACAUUUUAUAGUCGAUAACUUUGAAACUUGAUAAAAAAAAGUCUGUUUAAACUCGGUUUAGUAAAUAAACAAAUCAAGUUUGAACAAAAUUUUAAACUCAUUAAAAUAAUUAAAUACGUUUGAAUACUAGGGUAUUCGAUUUAAUUAGACACGUUUGUACCCCUAAUUAAAGUAUGCACUUUUCUAAGUUUAGGAAUCAACAUUAUACAUUUAAUAGCUAGCUAGAGGGUCAAAAAGUUAAUUGCCUUAAAUUCUUUUAGCAGCCACAAGGUAUAGUUGGAGGGAUUCCCUUGAAAUUGAUUAGAUUCUUCUAUGUGACUAAAGAAUUUCGGAUGUGACGCAUUACUAGUCCUACCCUAAAAAAAAUGGUAUUACUAGUCCUUUUAUUCUUUUUUGGCGUGCCCCCGCCGUGGGGUGUGGGGAGGGGAGCCUGUGCGAGAAUUCUAGAUGGGGUACAAGGAGCCAAAGUUCACCUUAUUCAAAGUAAACAGCCUUCCAUCUCAGAUGUUGAAUUUCCUGGCAAUUGCGUAUGUAUUACAAUCUUUUACCAUGACUUUAGAGGAUAGCUAAUUUUGCUUGCUAUUAAAUAAUAAUUUCGGUAGUCUAUAAAUACUCUUGUUCCUCACUGCUUCUUGCACCACAUAAUUCUUUCAAGAACUACUAAAACCUUCUUGAAAUCCCUCUCUUUCCUUUUAGUUCAUUUCCAAGAAACAAAUUGAACCAUCAUGGCCCCUGUCACUUCCAGUUAUGAGGUCACCUCCUCAAUCCCUCCUGCAAGGUUGUUCAAGGCCACCAUCCUUGAAGAGAAGCAUCUUCACAAGAUCUUGCCACAGGGCGUUAAGAGUGUCGAAAUCCUUGAAGGAGAUGGUGGAGUUGGCACAAUUAAGUUGACCACAUUUCUUGACGGUAAGAUAAUCAAUACAAAGUGAUUAUUUUCACACAUUUGAAGUCUUCAAAUUGCUCCUUUUUUUUUUUUCCUUUUAUUUGGGAAAAACUAAUGACUUUUUUUUUUUUGGUUGCGUUAAAUAUUUAGGUGGCGAGCAUAAGACUGCCAAACAGAGAGUUGAUGGAAUUGACAAAGAAAAAUUUACAUACAGUUAUACUGUACUUGAAGCUGAUGGAUUUAACGAUGUAAUCGAGAAAAUCUGUUGUGUCAUCAAAUUUGAACCCUCUGCUGAUGGAGGUUCAAUCUGCAAAACCACUAACACAUACUACCCCAAAGGUGGUGCUCAGAUCGGUGAGGAACACCUCAAGGGAGGAAAAGAGAUGGGUUUGGGAAUGGUUAAGGCUGUUGAGGCUUACCUCCACGCAAAUCCUACUGCCUACAACUAAUUAUAUUAUCUUCGAGAUUGAAGUACACACACUGAGGGUGUCUGUUUCCUUUUUUGCUUGGUUUGCUUUAAGCUGUUUGUUUAAGUUAUUUGCAACUAUGAUCAUAUAAUAUGAUCGAAGUGUGCUUUUCUUGUAACCUUUGUAUCAUUACAAGGAAUAAAAUCUUGUAUGGAGCUUUUACUUUGUUAUUUGCCAAGAAAUAAACUAUUUUGAGUUCAAUUUCAUAUAUUGGGAAUCAGAGAGCGAUUCCAUGGAUUAGCAGUUUCUUUUGCCCAUCCCUAUCGGCCAUAAUGUUUCUUUGCCUCCAAAAACUUAUUGAAAGUCAUUUUGAUCCUUUGUCCAAGCAACAAUAGACUUGUGAGAAUAUUUUUCUAACCGGCCAUGACUAUUAAUGAAAAUAGACUAAAGAAAAUAUUCUUUAUUUCUGGGACUAAUUCCAAUUCUUACCAGUCAAAAGAAGAAUGACAUGAUGGUCUAUAAGCAAGUCCACAAUAUCCGUGUACUUUCCUUGCUAAUGUACAAAAAAAAUUAGGUAUGAAAUGGAAAACUUCGUUUCCAACGUAUAAGUCAAAAAUUGCAAUGUGACAAAAAUUGAUGACUUCAAUAGAGAGAGUCCAAGAUAAGAAUUAAGCAUCCAAUCUGAGAGAAUUCGUGGAAGCAUGCAAAUGCAGAUGUAAAAGUUGCUUUGGUCCAAAGUGAAAGUGGCUAGCAAAUGUUUUUUUUUUUUUUUUUUAAAUUUGAAGUGAUUGACCGAAAGAGCUAUUCUAGAAGUCAGCAAAAGACGCCUUGUAGCAUCACAUACUACACAGUAUUUUCCUCAUCACAUGUCAAGACAACGUAGUAUAAUAGACUAAUAGUUUAGUAACCUUGGAAUUCAAUGGAACAAUAUUUAGGAGAGAUGGAUAAGAUGAAGAAUUCAUUAGGUGGAUAAGAUAGAAACAUCUGUAAACGAAGAAAGGAGAAAAUGAAGAAGGUGAUCUGAAUUACAAAGACAGCUCCACUACUAAGCAAGAUCACAAGAUUCACUUGGGGCCUAACGCAACAAAAACAGACUUAAAAUGACUAAUUACUAAUUAGUACCAGUGCUAAACACCAAAACGACCUCGUUUUCGCUGCUUACUAGUCAAUUAAUGAAACACUUAAUUCUGUCACAUGAACCCCUUCUCCCAAUUUUUUUUUCUUGAGCAAUGAAAUAUAGAGGGUUGGAUGGAUAUUAAAUUCCAUAGCCAAUUUGAGUUUAUAAUUAAGCCACAGUUCUAGCACUCUUUUCAAAUUAUAAUAAUUUAAUAUUGUAGAUAUCUACAUGUUUUUAAUUUCUCAGGCGAGAUUAUAAUUUUCAACUAUGAUUCUCUUAAUUUUGGUGCCAUGUCCAUUUAAACUAUGGGAGUCGAGAUUAUAAUUUUCUACUAUGAUUCUCUUAAUUUUGGUGCCAUGUCCAUUUAAACUGUGGGAGUAUGUAAGAUUCAAGAAUACCAUAUUAUUAAAAAAAAAAGAAGGAGAAAAUGAGAUGAAGAAUGGAAAAGUAUGGAACAUCAGACUACGAAAUAUAACUUGUUAUUUGGUCAAAAUAGUCAAACCUUUAGAUGGUAAGCACAAUGGUAACUACUCGUAACGCCCACAACACAAAGCCCAAUUGUAUAUUCCAUUAGCCCAACCAUUUCUUGUGGCCUAUCAUGGCCGAUUAGUUACUUUGGGAUCUAGUGUCAUAACUAGUUUGCUUCGGUCGCGCGAUGCGCGAGGGUGCUCAAAUUCAAUUUUUUGAGUCUGUUUUUGGAUAAUAUUUACACAAUUAUGGUUUGUUUGGAUUGGGCUUUAUUUCCCCAAAUUUAUUUGCUUACAUCAUGAUUACAAUUUCCAAUACACCUUUUUACCUUUUCAAUUACCUUUUUAUCUCACAUACAUCACAUCACAAAAAGUGUUACAGUAAAAAUAUCUCUAAUAAUUCACAAUCCAAACAGAUUGAUUCAUGAAGGAUAUUUGCAUGUGGCCUUCAUGAAGUCAUGUUGAAAGGCUAUCAAAAGUUACAAAGUCUCAUGUGGCCUCAAAAAAGGGAUGUCGUUUGGUAGCAUAACAUGGCUCAUUGACCUGACUGUUUCAUCAUCUGCUCAAAUUCAUCACACGCAGCAGCAAGGAAAGAUUCGAAAGAACAGAACUCCACCGCACCGUCCGCCGCACCGCCAAGUGUUUAAAUAGUAACCUGAGCCAUGUGAUAAUGCAGUAGGUGUCAGGAUGACUUGGAUGGAACCAAAACACCCUAAAGCCAAGUCUGCUUCUGCUGACCAAUUACUUCAUCAAGAGUAAAAGUGAGAUCCAAAAAAAAAUAGUCAUAAAAAAAGAGUAAAAGUGAGAUCCAAGGGUACAGUAGUCAUAAAAAAUUCACCAAGAAAUUGGCAAACCAUGAACAUAAAGUACGCGUGAAAUGAUGAAAGAAUCCACACAGUAAAGGUGUUAAUGAGGGACCAAAAUCACUGUUCAUCCAUCUCAUUCACACACUUAUAUAUUGUUAGGAAGUGAAAAAGCAUAGUCCUAUCGUUUCGGAAAAAAAGAAGAAGCAUAGUGCCUUAGUGACUGUUAUUAUCAUUAUUAUUGUUGAUUAAAUUACAAGGACUCACAAUGGCGGAGUAAAAAAAAAUAAAUCAGAACUCAAAUUAGUCCACAAAUAAUGGACAAAUGGUGAAAGUACAACUCAAUAUUACUAAAAACUAAUCCACAUAAAUUGAGAAAAGAAACUCAUAUUAGUGAGGCUUAAACCUAAAACUUAAAAAGUUUUUCUAAUGGGUGCCAAUGACACUCAUUAACACACCUAAAUUCCAUCCAACCUGUUAUAUGUAUACAUACUAAUAAUUAUUAUCUUCUCUUAUAUUUACAUAUUUUCUCUGAUUAAUCUUACAUUUCUAAAUUCUAAUACCAGAAGUACAUCAUAAUGGGUGGCCAUUGGGCACUCGUUACACAGAUCCAAAACUUAAAGUUCUUGGGGCUUCAAUUUUGAGCACUAAACCCAGAACUCAUCGGCUUUACUGAUUCCUUGAGUAGGAUUAAUUGGGAAUCUCUCCAAUUAGAACCCAAUUGCAAAAUUUCAGCCAUUCUCCAAAAAUUUCGAAAAGGGCCUAGUCCAAGAGAGUUUGGAGAAGCUAUUGUCAUCAAAUCUAACGCUUUAGAUUUGAGUUGGAAUUAUGGUAAUAGGUGGAGAAACCGCAGUUUAAAUACGUUGAUUUUGUGUGCCAUGGGCUGUUUGGACUUAUCAAUUGGGCAAAUAUUUUACGUUCUUGGAAGUUGAGACUUUAAUUUUGGGUCCAUGUAAGGUUUUGGAAAGCAAACACACGAUCGAGAAUAUUCCUGAUCCAGCCUUGCUGGAAAUGGGCUAAUAGCGGGAAAGUUUCACUGUUUAAGAUGCCGGGGAAUGUCAUGCUCCGAACUCAGCCCAUAGACCAGAUACUUAUGAGAGUUUACUUCCACGAAUACAAAGCAUCAUACAUAACUUACAUAAAGUUACUAAAUAUUAAAAUUUACAAUUAACUCAGAAAUGAAAGAAUUAUCAUUACCUAAAUCAAUAGCACUUUGAGUCAUCAACACUGGUCAAAAUAACUUAAUAUGGGAAGUGCAAGUUCUUAUGGCUUAAUAGCCUGCUAAUCUUUUUAGCCAAUAAGUCAAAACUCGAUCGCCAAUAUAUGUGUCUCUCUCUUAUGUUCUUGAUAUAAACACUAAUCUUCUAACUGUUGUUUCAACGAUGCACGUGCAAUUCACAUGGCUUUUCCGUUAGUUUGAUCAAUUUAUCAUCAAAGGUCCUAUAAUCGUCCUUUUUUUUUAUUUAUAAAAUUAAAAGAUUAAAUUAGUACGUGAUAAUAGGUGUAAGGACCAAAUUGAUCAAGACCUCAAAAAUAAGGGUACAAUAGUUAUUUUCCAUUUUCAAUAUUGGGAACUUAUGUAUUUAUCUCUGAGCACAUAUUUACACUUGUAAGAUUGUGAUUGGUGCAAUUUGUAAAUUGGAAUUACGCUGAUUCUUGGGACUGUGUUGAUGGCUGUUAAUCACUAUGGACCAUAUCAUGUUGACCAUCCUGCAUGCACUAAAUCCCUGCACUAAGCCAAUGGCUAUAAAUCUUAAUUGUGUUUUAAUCACUUUGAUAUUUUGUCAUCUUGUGGUGUUCCGGGUAUCUCGUAAGGCACAAUGGUGUUAUGUUUCAAACUCGAGACAAGAAAAUAUUGGCCUUUAUGUCUCAGAAUAUAAUUAAAACGUUGUAUGGCAUACGAGUAACACAUAAUAUGGAAAUUUACUUCUCCGAUGCUUCCAGCAAUUAUUAAUCUUUCUGGAGCUUCUCGAAUGAUAAUCGAAACCUCUAUUUCGCAAUUUAACACGGAAGAACUUUACUUGUCUGUAUUACUUGAGAACACAUGGACUGGAAAUGGUAGAGAGGUUUUGGAUAAUGCUGCAUCAGAGUUGAGGAAAUGAAAUCACAAUAAUUGUCAUUCAAGAAAAAAAAUUUCAAACAAGUUCAUUUAGCUUCACAAGAAAAUACAAGCAAAGUACUAUUUCAUGUGACAUUGUGAUCGUAACUCGAAAGAGUCGAAACAAAUUGCAUCAUCCCAGAAAGGCUUUUGAAGACAGCAAUCUAAGAUAAUUAACAAGUAUGUGAAGGAAUAGGCAAAUAGCACUGCUGAAUUAGUUGUAUUCAUGAGGAUUGGCGAGGAGGUAGGCCUCGACAGCCUUGAACAUGACCAAGGCCUUCUCUUUUCCUGCCUUAAUUUUUUCUUUUCCCCCCUCAGUCUGUUCUUCUGUAAGCUGGACGUCACCCUUGCUGUGGCAUGCUCGGCUGGUUUUGCAAAUUGACCGUCCAUCUCCAGAGACUUUGAUUUUGACAACAUGUGUGACUUUCUCUAUCACGUUCUUGGGGGCAUCACCUUCAGUUACAGUAUUAGUUAUUUUUUGUCAAAUCCUUCGAUUUUGUGCUUUGCACUCUUAAAUUAACUCCCUAAAACCUCAAAAAAAAAAAAUAUUUUUCACAUAUAACUGAUAUCAUGUAAGACAAUUUAACAACAGAUAGAAUGAAAGAACAAAGAGUGAUAAAGAAAAUCAUAACAGCUAUUAAGUGUUUGUGUGCGGAAUGACCUUCACUGAAAGUGAUCAACUUGAUUGUUCCAGCUCCACCAUCCCCUUUAAGGGUUUCUACAUUCUUGAUAGCUUGUGGCAUGACCUUAGGAACGAGGUCGUCCCCAUCAAGGAUGAAGGCCUUAAACAACCUUGCAGGAGGGGUUGAGGAAGUGACCUCUGAUUCAAAAGUGAUGACGGCCAUGAUAUCCAUGUUAAGUUUCUGCUCAGAAUGAAUGCUAUUACUCAAGAAGCUAAGCUGAAGUUGUUGUGCAAAUCAAGGUACAAAAAACACUGUGGACUUCAUGCUGUCUCUCGUUGUGCUGAUUGCUGAAUACUGACAAUUAUUAAGUAUUGGACAAAAUGGACCUUGAGACUUGAGAGCCCGCAACAUGGCGUGUGGAAUAAAAAUAUUUUAAAACAAGGCUCUUUUGAUUGACUUCUAGAAUUGUUACCUUUUGUUGAGAUAUGCCUAACUUUUGUAGUUGUUUUCUAGAUUUAUUUGGUGGGAGAAUAAUUUAGAUAGUUGCUGAAUAAACGUAAUUAUUAGAAUAUUUAUUAACAGUGAAUCAUGUUGAGUUGGUAACAAAUAUUUCUGUUAAGAUUUAGAUUAUGCUAAUUAGUUAGCAAGUAGUUUUGUUGAGAUUUUUAUGGAAAUUUAUUAGUUGAAAAUUAUGUUAGUUUGUUUCAUGUAAAUAAUAGUGAGUUGAUAAAUAAAGAAGGUAAGCUUAUUUUCAACUCACAAUACAAGUCUUUUUGGAGUCAUUUUUCUACUAUUGCUUGACCUCUCCCACUUAAAAUUUAUUUAACAACAACUUUGUCAAUGUUCAAUGGAUUAGGGAACUUAGGAACUACAUUGGAUUGAAAUUGUUUGGAAUUAUACAGUCGGUGUACCUAUUCAUUGAUUGCUAGAUUUUAAAAUUAAGGAAGAAAUGUGUGUCCAAUUCUUCAAACAAAACUGACCGCAAAGUCAACUGAACUAUAUAGAUUUUUUUAUUUUACGAAGAACUUGUUCUAGCAUUAAAAUAAUGUGUGACUUUAUCACCGGCCUCAAUUCUUUAGUUGGAUUAUUAUUAACAUGCUAAUUUAAUUACUAGACCAUCAACCAAGGUGCAGGUGUAUUUUACUCAAAGUUUACAUCACCAUUCAACAAAGUUGGAUUAAUAGAUUAUACUAUGUGAAAUCAGGGUCCUACUUUUCUGUUCAAAGUUUACAUUACAAUUCAACAAAAAAGAAAGCACAAGAAGACUGACUAUGAAGUCUAUUAGGCCUUUUGUACUUAGAUUCAGGCUACAACUUCAAUCUAUAAAUACCAUCUCCAAUCACUUCUGUUUCCACCAAAAAUCCUCUUAAGGAACUACUGAAGUCUAAAACCUUCUUGAAAUCCCUUUGUUCUUUAACCGUUGUCCAUUUCCGAAGAAUAAAAAAAACCAUCAUUGCCCCAUUCACAUAUGAUUAUGAGGUCACCUCCUCAAUCCCUCCUGCAAGG